RNAcentral lists this ribosomal RNA (254 nucleotides) under uncultured bacterium. RNAcentral's name for it is "partial 16S ribosomal RNA". It matches the Rfam family "Bacterial small subunit ribosomal RNA", at positions 524 to 776 of the family's 1533-position model. The record is from RNAcentral.
UACGUAGGGGGCGAGCGUUGUCCGGAUUUAUUGGGCGUAAAGAGCUCGUAGGUGGUUUGGUAAGUCGGAUGUGAAAUCUCCAGGCUCAACCUGGAGGGGUCAUUCGAGACUGCCAUGACUAGAGUUCGGUAGAGGAGUAUGGAAUUCCCGGUGUAGCGGUGAAAUGCGCAGAUAUCGGGAAGAACACCCGUGGCGAAGGCGGCUCUCUGGGACGGUACUGACGCUGAGACGCGAAAGCGUGGGGAGCGAACAGG